GACGGGGGCCCGCACAAGCGGUGGAGCAUAUGGUUUAAUUCGAUGAUACGCGAGGAACCUUACCUGGGCUUAAAUGGGAGUGACAGCUGUCGAAAGAUGGUUUUCUUCGGACACUCUUCAAGGUGCUGCAUGGUUGUCGUCAGCUCGUGCCGUGAGGUGUCGGGUUAAGUCCCAUAACGAGCGCAACCCUUACCGUUAGUUACCAUCAGGUUAAGCUGGGGACUCUAGCGGGACUGCCACCGUAAGGUGAGAGGAAGGUGGGGAUGACGUCAAGUCCUCAUGGCCUUUAUGACCAGGGCUACACACGUACUACAAUGGCCGAUACAAAGGGCAGCGACACUGCGAGGUGAAGCCAAUCCCGUAAAAUCGGUCUCAGUCCGGAUUGGAGUCUGCAACUCGACUCCAUGAAGUUGGAAUCGCUAGUAAUCGUGGAUCAGCAUGCCACGGUGAAUACGUUCCCGGGCCUU
RNAcentral lists this ribosomal RNA (467 nucleotides) under uncultured Sphingobacteriales bacterium. RNAcentral's name for it is "bacterial SSU rRNA". It matches the Rfam family "Bacterial small subunit ribosomal RNA", at positions 912 to 1382 of the family's 1533-position model. The record is from RNAcentral. Lineage: Bacteria; Pseudomonadati; Bacteroidota; Sphingobacteriia; Sphingobacteriales.